RNAcentral lists this ribosomal RNA (433 nucleotides) under uncultured bacterium. RNAcentral describes it as "partial 16S ribosomal RNA". It matches the Rfam family "Bacterial small subunit ribosomal RNA", at positions 29 to 507 of the family's 1533-position model. The record is from RNAcentral.
AACGAACGCUGGCGGCAGGCCUAACACAUGCAAGUCGAGCGCGCCCUUCGGGGUGAGCGGCGGACGGGUGAGUAACGCGUGGGAACGUGCCCUUCUCUGCGGAAUAGCCUCGGGAAACUGAGAGUAAUACCGCAUACGCCCUUUGGGGGAAAGAUUUAUCGUAGAAGGAUCGGCCCGCGUUGGAUUAGGUAGUUGGUGGGGUAAUGGCCCACCAAGCCGACGAUCCAUAGCUGGUUUGAGAGGAUGAUCAGCCACACUGGGACUGAGACACGGCCCAGCCUCCUACGGGAGGCAGCAGUGGGGAAUCUUAGACAAUGGGGGCAACCCUGAUCUAGCCAUGCCGCGUGAGUGAUGAAGGCCUUAGGGUUGUAAAGCUCUUUCAGCUGGGAAGAUAAUGACGGUACCAGCAGAAGAAGCCCCGGCUAACUCCGUG